UUUAAGUGGGAGAACUUGUUAAAAUUUAAUAAAAAGGAAAAGGAUUUUUUAAGAGGAAAAGGAAUAAGUAGUUUAAAUUGAAAUUUUUUUUGAGGCUAAAGUGGAAAGUAUUGAGAAAGAAAGUUGAAAGAGGUGUAGGAAAUAGAAAAAAAGAAAAAAUAAAUAUUUGUACCUUGUGUAUUAGGGUUAAUCUAGAUUAUUCUUUUAUUUAUGAAAGUCCCGAAAAAAAAAGAGCUAAGAUAAGAAGAAAGUUUUUGUGGUAAAAAAAUUUAAAAUUUUAUUUUUGUGGUGAAAUGCUAGUCGUGUUUUUAUAUCUGGUUUUUUCUGAAAAAAAUUUAAUUUUUUUUUUAUUUUGAGAGUAAAUAGAAAAUAAGGGUAGGAGGGGAGAGCUUCUUAUCCAAGGUAAGUGUUUGAUAUAAGAAAAUGAGUGGGUUUUAGGUAAUUUAAUUAGGCUUAAAAGUGGCUAUAUUAGGAGAGUGUUUAAACUAAUUUUUUUUGGUUUAUUAAAAUUUAUGUGUUGUUUAUUUAGGUAGGAAAGAGAUUUAAUAAGUGGGAGAUUGUUUGUUAAAAUGAUUAAAUUAGUAUAGUUUGUUGUAGUUAAAACUUAAUUGAGUUUGAAAAAAAAAAGAUAAAAAAAAGCUAGUUUAUUUAGAGGAACUCGGCAAAAAGAAAUCUUCUGCCUGUUUAUCAAAAACAUGUCUCUAUGGGUGGUUUAUAGAGUCUGGCCUGCCCACUGAUUGAGUAGAGAUUAAAGGGCCGCGGUAUAUUGACCGUGCGAAGGUAGCAUAAUCAUUAGUCUUUUAAUUGAAGGCUGGAAUGAAUGGUUUUACAAGAAGUUUACUGUCUUUAAGUUAAGAUUUGAAUUUUACUUUUAAGUGAAAAGGCUUAAAUGAUUUAAAGGGACGAUAAGACCCUAUAAAACUUUACAUAGGAAAAUUAUUUUAAGAAUUAUUUGUUUAAAGUAGGGAAAAUUUAAAUAUGUUUUGUUGGGGAGACAGGAAUAUAAUGUGAUUUGUAACUGUUCAAAUAAAAAAAAUCAGAUUAUUAUUGAGUAAAUAAAAUGGUCCUUAAAAAAGAUUAGAAGAGUAAGUUACUUUAGGGAUAACAGCGUUAUUUUUUUGGAGAGUUCUUAUCAAUAAAAAAGAUUGCGACCUCGAUGUUGAAUUAAAAUUUCUUUAUAAUGCAGUUGUUAUAGGAGAAAGUCUGUUCGACUUUUAAAAUUUUACAUGAUUUGAGUUCAAACCGGCGUGAGCCAGGUUGGUUUCUAUCUUUUAAAAAAAAAAAAUCGCUUUAGUACGAGAGGACCAAGUGGUUUGAAUAAUUUAUGGGAUUGGAAUAAAAUU
RNAcentral lists this ribosomal RNA (1343 nucleotides) under Pentacheles validus. RNAcentral describes it as "16S ribosomal RNA". The stretch from base 630 to 1343 matches the Rfam family "Archaeal large subunit ribosomal RNA", at positions 1423 to 2808 of the family's 2987-position model. The record is from RNAcentral. Lineage: Eukaryota; Metazoa; Arthropoda; Malacostraca; Decapoda; Polychelidae.